This 254-nucleotide ribosomal RNA is filed under the name uncultured bacterium. RNAcentral's name for it is "partial 16S ribosomal RNA". It matches the Rfam family "Bacterial small subunit ribosomal RNA", at positions 524 to 776 of the family's 1533-position model. The record is from RNAcentral.
UACGUAGGGGGCAAGCGUUGUUCGGAUUUACUGGGCGUAAAGGGCGCGUAGGCGGUCAGCACAAGUCAGUUGUGAAAUCUCCGGGCUUAACUCGGAAAGGUCAACUGAUACUGUGCGACUAGAGUGCAGAAGGGGCAACUGGAAUUCUCGGUGUAGCGGUGAAAUGCGUAGAUAUCGAGAGGAACACCUGCGGCGAAGGCGGGUUGCUGGGCCGACACUGACGCUGAUGCGCGAAAGCCAGGGGAGCGAACGGG